GAUGAAGAACGCAGCGAAAUGCGAUAAGUAAUGUGAAUUGCAGAAUUCAGUGAAUCAUCGAAUCUUUGAACGCACAUUGCGCCCGCCAGUAUUCUGGCGGGCAUGCCUGUUCGAGCGUCAUUACAACCCUCAGGCCCCCGGGCCUGGCGUUGGUGAUCGGCGGAGCCCCCCGUGGGCACACGCCGUCCCCCAAAUGCAGUGGCGGUCCCGCCGCAGCUUCCAUCGCGUAGUAGCUAACACCUCGCGACUGGAGAGCGGCGCGGCCACGCCGUAAAACACCCAACUCUUCUGAAGUUGACCUCGAAUCAGGUAGGAAUACCCGCUGAACUUAAGCAUAUCAAUAAGCGGAGGA
This 352-nucleotide unclassified non-coding RNA is filed under the name soil metagenome. Its description in RNAcentral is "partial contains 5.8S ribosomal RNA, internal transcribed spacer 2, and large subunit ribosomal RNA". The stretch from base 1 to 120 matches the Rfam family "5.8S ribosomal RNA", at positions 35 to 154 of the family's 154-position model. The record is from RNAcentral.